GCUUGAUACAUGUAAUAUCAUUGCAUUUUAUCAGCCGUGGACAGUAACUAUGCCUGAAGUGGAAUGGCUUUGAAUGACGACCAAAAACGCUUGUCUUUUACUGUGACCAUUUACUGUUUAAUAUGUUCUGUCAUGAACUGUAAU
Long non-coding RNA from Etheostoma spectabile (orangethroat darter), 144 nucleotides. RefSeq lists it as uncharacterized. Lineage: Eukaryota; Metazoa; Chordata; Actinopteri; Perciformes; Percidae. The record is from RefSeq and is a predicted model, not a curated record. The transcript has 3 exons.